UUGCCAUCAACCCCCUG
Molecule: unclassified non-coding RNA, 17 nt
Filed under: Mus musculus (house mouse)
Lineage: Eukaryota; Metazoa; Chordata; Mammalia; Rodentia; Muridae
Description: oocyte_clustered_small_RNA9799
Source: RNAcentral